UACGUAGGGGGCUAGCGUUGUCCGGAAUCAUUGGGCGUAAAGCGCGUGUAGGCGGUCCGGUAAGUCCGCUGUGAAAGUCGAGGGCUCAACCCUCGAAUGCCGGUGGAAACUGUCGGGCUAGAGUCCGGAAGAGGCGAGUGGAAUUCCCGGUGUAGCGGUGAAAUGCGCAGAUAUCGGGAGGAACACCAAUGGCGAAGGCAGCUCGCUGGGACGGUACUGACGCUGAGACGCGAAAGCGUGGGGAGCAAACAGG
RNAcentral lists this ribosomal RNA (253 nucleotides) under uncultured bacterium. RNAcentral describes it as "partial 16S ribosomal RNA". It matches the Rfam family "Bacterial small subunit ribosomal RNA", at positions 524 to 776 of the family's 1533-position model. The record is from RNAcentral.